AAGGAUAUAGCUGCAAAAGUCACAUCUGAUAAGAUUAUCCACAUUUUCGACGAUGGUACUCAUAGAGUUGAAUUUCAGUUGAUAGAUAUGUAAUUUUUUUUGUUGCUAAACAUACGUUGUCAUGCACUCAUAUCAAUUCUACUGUUGAGACUAUAUUCUUGCGUGGUGUAUAAUUUGGAAUGAUUAUUAUCUGUCUCGCCUCCCUCAUGUUCAAAUCCUGGCUCCGCCCCUGGCCUGGCAGCCGGGCCUCCUUCGUCAGUUGUGCCUUGUUCCUCAAUUGAAUGGUCAAUCAGGCCCUCCACGUGUGUAUUGGGGCGCUCAAACAAACUCAUGCCAUGAUUGUACGUGCAUGGAUGCACGAACUGAACGUACAACACAAACACGGCGGUGCUAAGAUUAUAUUGAAUCCGAACUGAACGAUUUCUCAGUAAAAUUUCUGUAUAGAAAUAUCCCCAGGAUUGAUGCAUUAUCAGGCUGAACUCCUUCUGCGCUACCAAGUACGUCAGGUCGACCUCUAGCCCAAAUUCCCAAUGCAUCCCAAUCUUAGCUAGUACACCCCUCCAUGGCAUGUGAAACAGGAAAAACAGAUCAAUCCAUCCAAUUCCAAUGCAAGUGAAAAACAAAACUACUCUAGUUGGUGGUCAUGGUUCCCUGGCAACAGAGAAGAUGGUUGCAACGUUUCUACUAGACUGUGAACCCAACCUUUUAUGGACAGAAAGUAAGUGCAGGCGGUGUUGGCCAAACAUUAAUGGCAAGCUGCAUUACAUACUAGCAUGCAUAUAUAUGCGCCUGAAGGCCUGAUAUAGUCUUGAUGAAAAUGGGGUCUUAGAAAGGAAAAGGACAAGCUCCCGCCUAUCAUGAGAUCCUCUUAUGGGUAGGGAAAGUGUUCCAUGUAGACGGGCGAUCUCAACCACACAAAGUAGUGAAGUUUCAGUAUAUUUGAGAGUACCAUACUACUGCAGAAACUAUGGAGCACCGAGGCUUGGAAGCAGAACAGUUGUUGGGGGACAUAAUCCUCGGCUGAGGGGAUGUCAUGACGUAUCUCAACAACACCGAUGGUCUGGGAGGAGAGGGGGAAGCAGGCUCCGGUGAUCGAACAAUGGAUGAGGAAGGACAUGAUCAUGAUGGCUCCGGUGACUGAAUGCCGGUGGAAGAAGGAGACUGUAAUGACGGCUCCGGUGACCGAACGGAGGAGGGAGCUGUUGCAAAUUCCGUGAGCCCUCCGGAUCGAGCCAAACUUCGGUAACGAGACGAGGCCCGAAGAAAAGGUUGCGUCAGGAUGAAAGGUUCACGAUCACAGCAAUCGUGGGCGAUGGCCAACCGAUUGAACUCAGCCAGACCAAGGAAGCAUUUUCUGCUCAGUGCGGGGUUCUUGUUAGGGACAUGAUCAUGGUCAGCAUCCACCAAUCGAAUAGGACUAAGAACGAAGACUCUCAACUUCCUUAUGUCCAUGAUAGACAGAAAGAUGGUCUUUGGACCGCACUGAAGGCAAAUUUCACCCUAACACCAGAGGAGGAUCCGGAUAAGCCAGUUAUAGAGCCAUUGGUCAAGGCUCAUGCUAUUAAGAAGAUGGCAGAUCUAUUCAGGAGGUGGAAGAAUGAGUUGAAAUCAACGUAUGUCGACAAAAGGGAAGACUCCAGAAUUCACCGGCCGAUUUGAGAAGAUAAGAGAUCACUGGCCCGCAUUUGUGGCCUACAAGACAUAUGGAACUUGACUUUAGAUGUUAGGGAUUCUAAGAGAUCUUAUAUUGUAUAUAUGUAGCUAGUAGUGCCGGAUAGAUAUACGAAAACUUGUUGUUCGACCAAUCUCUCAUAGAAGGAGGAGGUCGA
Molecule: long non-coding RNA, 1829 nt
Organism: Triticum urartu
Lineage: Eukaryota; Viridiplantae; Streptophyta; Magnoliopsida; Poales; Poaceae
Source: RefSeq, a predicted model, not a curated record